UCGUAACAAGGUUUCCGUAGGUGAACCUGCGGAAGGAUCAUUAGUGAACAUAGGACGUCCAACUUAACUUGGAGUCCGAACUCUCACUUUCUAACCCUGUGCAUUUGUUUGGGAUAGUAACUCUCGCAAGAGAGCGAACUCCUAUUCACUUAUAAACACAAAGUCUAUGAAUGUAUUUAAUUUUAUAACAAAAUAAAACUUUCAACAACGGAUCUCUUGGCUCUCGCAUCGAUGAAGAACGCAGCGAAAUGCGAUAAGUAAUGUGAAUUGCAGAAUUCAGUGAAUCAUCGAAUCUUUGAACGCACCUUGCGCUCCAUGGUAUUCCGUGGAGCAUGCCUGUUUGAGUGUCAUGAAUACUUCAACCCUCCUCUUUCUUAAUGAUUGAAGAGGUGUUUGGAUUCUGAGCGCUGCUGGCCUUACGGUCUAGCUCGUUCGUAAUGCAUUAGCAUCCGCAAUCGAACUUCGGAUUGACUUGGCGUAAUAGACUAUUCGCUGAGGAAUUCUAAUCUUCGGAUUAGAGCCGGGUUAGGUUAAAGGAAGCUUCUAAUCAGAAUGUCUACAUUUUAAGAUUAGAUCUCAAAUCAGGUAGGACUACCCGCUGAACUUAAGCAUAUCAAUAA
This 620-nucleotide unclassified non-coding RNA is filed under the name Rhodotorula dairenensis. Its description in RNAcentral is "sequence contains 18S rRNA gene, ITS1, 5.8S rRNA gene, ITS2, 28S rRNA gene". The stretch from base 197 to 350 matches the Rfam family "5.8S ribosomal RNA". Lineage: Eukaryota; Fungi; Basidiomycota; Microbotryomycetes; Sporidiobolales; Sporidiobolaceae. The record is from RNAcentral.